This 495-nucleotide ribosomal RNA is filed under the name uncultured bacterium. RNAcentral's name for it is "partial 16S ribosomal RNA". It matches the Rfam family "Bacterial small subunit ribosomal RNA", at positions 29 to 506 of the family's 1533-position model. The record is from RNAcentral.
AUGAACGCUGGCGGCGUGCCUAAUACAUGCAAGUCGAGCGAACGGACGAGAAGCUUGCUUCUCUGAUGUUAGCGGCGGACGGGUGAGUAACACGUGGAUAACCUACCUAUAAGACUGGGAUAACUUCGGGAAACCGGAGCUAAUACCGGAUAAUAUUUUGAACCGCAUGGUUCAAAAGUGAAAGACGGUCUUGCUGUCACUUAUAGAUGGAUCCGCGCUGCAUUAGCUAGUUGGUAAGGUAACGGCUUACCAAGGCAACGAUGCAUAGCCGACCUGAGAGGGUGAUCGGCCACACUGAAACUGAGACACGGUCCAGACUCCUACGGGAGGCAGCAGUGGGGAAUCUUCCGCAAGGGGCGAAAGCCUGACGGAGCAACGCCGCGUGAGUGAUGAAGGUCUUCGGAUCGUAAAACUCUGUUAUUAGGGAAGAACAUAUGUGUAAGUAACUGUGCACAUCUUGACGGUACCUAAUCAGAAAGCCACGGCUAACUACGU